RNAcentral lists this ribosomal RNA (501 nucleotides) under uncultured bacterium. RNAcentral's name for it is "partial 16S ribosomal RNA". It matches the Rfam family "Bacterial small subunit ribosomal RNA", at positions 30 to 523 of the family's 1533-position model. The record is from RNAcentral.
AUUGAACGCUGGCGGCAGGCUUAACACAUGCAAGUCGAGCGGAGAUGAGGUGCUUGCACCUUAUCUUAGCGGCGGACGGGUGAGUAAUGCUUAGGAAUCUGCCUAUUAGUGGGGGACAACAUUCCGAAAGGAAUGCUAAUACCGCAUACGUCCUACGGGAGAAAGCAGGGGAUCUUCGGACCCUGCGCUAAUAGAUGAGCCUCAGUCGGAUUAGCUAGUUGGUGGGGUAAAGGCCUACCAAGGCGACGAUCUGUAGCGGGUCUGAGAGGAUGAUCCGCCACACUGGGACUGGGACACGGGCCAGACUCCUACGGGAGGCGGCAGUGGGGAAUAUUGGACAAUGGGGGGAACCCUGAUCCAGCCAUGCCGCGUGUGUGAAGAAGGCCUUAUGGUUGUAAAGCACUUUAAGCGAGGAGGAGGCUACUGAGACUAAUACUCUUGGAUAGUGGACGUUACUCGCAGAAUAAGCACCGGCUAACUCUGUGCCAGCCGCCGCUGUAA